AAAAAGAAGAAAUAGAAGAAGAAGAAGUAGAAGAAAAAAGGAAUAGGAUGUAAAGAGUGUAGGUACGACGCCAUUGAGGAAGUUUCCUCCAACGAAAAGCGUGUAGAAUUCAGGACACGAGAACGUGGCAAGAAACUCGGGCAAAAAUGUUGGAGCGCCGAUGCAAAAAUACAUAUAUAUAGGGGGAGGGAGGUUGGACGAGAGAGAGAGAAAGAGAGAGAGAGAGAGUGGAUGAGAGAGAGAGAAAGGGGAGCGAGAAGGAACGCGAACUGAUUAAACUUCUUACUGUGAUAAAGCAUGAAAAAAAAAGUUGAAUGCUGCACAAUUUAGCUCGCGUGUAAGAAAUAGCAGGGUAUAGUCGCCGUGAGGGACUCGAUAGAAAGGGGAUGAUGAUGAUGAUGAUGAUGAUGUGAAAAGUAAGAGGAAGAGGUAUAUCGCGGG
This is a long non-coding RNA of Apis florea (little honeybee), 441 nucleotides long. Lineage: Eukaryota; Metazoa; Arthropoda; Insecta; Hymenoptera; Apidae. The record is from RefSeq and is a predicted model, not a curated record.